CACUGCCUUGCACUCUGUGUGUGUAUGUGUGUGUUUGUGCUUGCACUUUUGUGGCCCUGCUCUCGCUCCCUGCAACUGCUGGGAGAACACGUUGUGCUCCCCUCCAGCGUGGCAGCCUGCAUGGCACCGGGGGAACGUGCACUGCUUUUCCGCUGGGCAAGAACAGGGAGUUUGAAGGGUGCACGUGAGAGGGAGACCUCUGUGAACCACGCAGCCUUGGGGCUGAAGGGGAUUUGUUUGGUUUUCUUUGUUCCCCUUGCCCCCUCCUGUAUUAGCACUGGACCACAGUGGGGUGGGUUUGCUGCCUGUUGACAAGCAGCUUGUCUUGCACUGGAUCAGCCCACCUUGCAGCUAUUCCUUUUCUUUUACCCGCUGCUUGUUGGUGAAAUGUCUUUAUUUUGCAUGAGCAGCCCCCUUGUUCUCGCCGCAGUUUCAUCUCUAACGCUCGCUCCCUUUGUCUGGCGGACACUCCCACAGCUCCCCAUUUUUCUGCCCUUCCUCCUGGCUUUCCAAACGUGUUUCUCUAGCCCCUGUGCCCUCGGGGUCUGCCACACUCCUCCUUUUCACACCUGACGGGGUCUAUAUGUAGCCAGCUCCUUGCCAGAUAAAUCACGGGCCCUCCCUGUGUCUGAGCAGGGCAGUGCACACAGGAAUGCGCCUCUGCUGCUUGCAGGGCGGCAGGGAAGAGGGGCAAAAGCGGUUCCCUUCCUCGGGAGCCCCGGCCUGUGCUUCCCCACCACGCGCCUUCGGCAGCGAAAGCUAAAGAAAUACCCAACUGCAUCUGAAUGUUGAAAAUCUGCCUGCCCGCCUUGGCCUUUCUGUCCCGUGGGAGUCUCUCCUCGGUGCUCGGGGACAGAAACCUGCUGUUUCUCUGCUUUUGUGAGAGAUGUUUAGCUCUUAAAACUGCAAUUUUAUUUCUCAAGGCCUUUGCCCUUUAGUGUGGCUUUUGCCUCUGACACUUUUGUUUCCCGUGGGGCUUUGAAAGGCUGGCCUCUAAAGGUGAGCCUAAAUCAAUGUCCUGACUCCUGAAUGCUGGCGCGGGACGCCGUGCGGCUCCUGUGCCAACGCCGAGCCCGACGGUGAUGUGAUCUCCUGCUGGAGCCCUCCUGGGGCUCUCUCCGUGCUGAUGGAUCCGUGCGUGUGAACGGAAAAGCUCCAUUUGUUCUGCCUGGAUUUAUACCGGGCAAAUACCUGUAUGUAGCAGGAGUUGUCUGGCCUUCCCUGCUGAUGUGUCUUACCACAGCGAGCCUGUGUUCAUGGGGUAUAUAAAUGUGUGCCUUUCAGUAUAAGGGAGUGUUAUCUUUUGAUGGGGUGACUGUGAUAGCCUCUACUCUCCUCUUUGGCCUCCCGUGGCCCAGCAGUGGCUGGGAGGGCAGUGCAUGUCCAGCACCACCUACGGAUGGAUAGUCCUGCGAGGUUCAAGGGAGCGACGUGUUGUCUGAGCACCCUGAUGAGUGAAGGUCCAAAGUGAUGGUUCCCCAGCUACGAGUCGUCUGCAGCAUCCUGAACUCUUCCUGCCGAUGGAUGCUUUCUCCUGAAUGCCUGAUGCUUACCAGGAUCCAGUCCUCUCAGCGUGGCAUGCAGAAAUGGGAUUGUGAAGAAACCGCAUGGAUUGCACGUGGAGAACCAGAUGGAAGCAGCAUGCGCCCGUUCUGGAUCUGCUUCCCAAUUGCUCUGCUGCGGGUCCAAGUGCUGUUUCUACCUGCCACUGAAAAGGCCGCUGUCAACAGGGACCAGUUCUUCAAUGAAACACUCUUACCUGCAUUAGGGUAAAUGCUUUGUAAGAACUGAAGGAGAGACCUUCAUCUCUCAGUCAGCCUGUUCACUUUUUUCAACCUUCCCUGGGACUGGAAAGAGAAGCAACCUCUUUAGUGGUGAGAAGAGAGUGAAAUUGGGUCUCUUGGAUGUUUUUUCUGAUGUCAUAUUAUUUCCCUGGAUCUCCGUUUGUUUUGGGGAUUGUUUCACACCUCAGUGCAAGACAAGCGGACCAUGGUGAUACCUACCUCAUUGGGGUGUUGCGAGGCUAAACUCGCCUUUUGUGAAGUGCUUUGAGAUUCAAAGGUGGAAGGUGCUACAGGAGUUCAGGCUCUUCAUAAAAAAUAGUGAACAGCGAGAGCAGACCAGCCUGUUUAGCUUUGUUUAUAGCCAGCUUAUGAGCAAGAACUGAGUCGCAGGAACAAAGCUCUGAUCCAAGUCCUGCAGGGCUUGCCAAGAGCCACGUGCUUGUAAGGCCUGCCAGCCAAGCGCAGGCUGCUUCCCUGCAAAUACCCCUCCUUUCCUGCCUGGAAGUGAAGUUGAUAGCAUCUCCCUUGGAAGAGGGAUGCCCGGGGUGGCUGGGGAUCUCCUGCUGAGCUCUGCGAGCUCAGGUGCAGGUGCCUGCGAGGGGUAGGGCUGCCCUGCUCGUCUCUUCUACUGGUCUGUUUUUCCUGUGGCUCUCAAGUGUGCUGCUCAAAUGCUUAAAACUCUGCUAAAGCCAGCAGCAAAAACAAUUUUCAGCUUUUUUUUCAGGGCAGGUGGAAAUGGCUGUAGGUUUCCACAAAGGAUGACUUCUUUCUUUCUUUUUUCUUCUCCAAAGAGUGGAAAAUGAGGAUUUCCUGUAGCUUCUAGGAGGCUAGGGGUAGAUACUAGACCCCUAGUAUCCUGCCAGUCCUGCAGCCAGGACUAGGAGAGGGUUAACACAGCCACUUAGGCAGCCCUUAGCCCAACAGCUUCAGUCACUGCACCUCCUGCUUCCAUCCUACCCUUGCUCUGUGGUUUUAAGCUCUCCAGUGAGAAAGAACAACUAGGAGGUGGGAUGGAU
Nothoprocta perdicaria is the source of this 2800-nucleotide long non-coding RNA. RefSeq lists it as uncharacterized. The transcript has 2 exons. Lineage: Eukaryota; Metazoa; Chordata; Aves; Tinamiformes; Tinamidae. The record is from RefSeq and is a predicted model, not a curated record.